RNAcentral lists this ribosomal RNA (1032 nucleotides) under Triticum aestivum (bread wheat). Its description in RNAcentral is "partial small subunit ribosomal RNA". The record is from RNAcentral. Lineage: Eukaryota; Viridiplantae; Streptophyta; Magnoliopsida; Poales; Poaceae.
AUGCCGAACCCCACGCCGUACGCCUCCCUCCUCAAUGACGCCCCUCCCGCCGACCUCGACGGCGCCGACGCCGACCUCGACCUCUGCCCGGACGGCGGCCUGUGCUUGCCGGACGACCCGCUCGACACGGUCAUAGGCUACAUGUCCAUGCUCGACGACGGCUUCUUGGAGGGCCUCGGGCUGGGCUGCUCGCCGCCGCGGGGCCGCGUCGGCGACGGCCAAGACUACUCCGGGGGCGCGCUGGCGGGCAUGAAGGCCGACGCGGACCUCGGUUCGCUGGCGGAGGGGAGACCUCUGUCUCUCUGUGACGCCGGCGCCCCCGGCGGCCGGAAGAGGAGCGCGUUCCACAUGUUCGACAGUAAGCCGGAGGGGUUGCCGCCGGCGCGAGCGCGCUCGCUGUCGUGCAGCACGACGACAACUUCGUCGUCCACCGCGUCCGGGGCCCGCAACCUCUCGCCCACAUCCGGCGGGACCGAGGCGCCGCGGGAGCCUGCCUCCAAGGAUUAUGACCUGCGUUGGACUUUGCCGAGGAAGCCGCACCACCGACGGGCCGUCCGCAGGCGCGCCGCCUCCUGGUCUUUGGCUCUCCCGCCCCAGCUCAUGUCGGCUGGCGCCUAUGACUGUAACGGUGACAGCAAUGCCAACGACGACAAAGACAAAGACUACGUGCUCAGCCACUGCAAGAACGGCCGCGGCAAUGGUGGUCCACGCCCGGCCAGGCGGCAGCAGAAGAAAACGGACGGCAAGAUUUGCACCCACUGCCGCGUGGAGGGCACGCCGCAAUGGCGGACCGGGCCGGCCGGGAGCGGCACGCUGUGCAACGCAUGCGGCAUCCGAUACAAGAUGGGUAAGCUAUUCCCGGAGUACCGCCCGUCGACGAGCCCAGAGUUCGGCAGCCUCGAGCACUCUAACCGCCACAGGAACGUGGAAAGAAUCAGGGAGAAGAAGAUGAAGGUGAUGGUUCCCGAGGUGCCGGUGAGUCCGGACGCGGAUGACAAAGUACUCCUUCGAGUCUGUAAAUAUGAAAGGUAG